UUUCCUAGUGUAAAUGUUUUUUGGAGGUGCCAAUUUAUCGCUCAUGCAUCAAAUGUGUCAUUGCGGCAUUGGCAGCAAAUGGGUGGAGUAAACAUCAAUGAGGACAUUAUAAUAGACAAAUCCAUUCACAAAUCUAUUAAUGCUCGGUCCNNNNNNNNNNNUGUUGAAGAGAUACAUGGCCGAUAUUGGAAAGGCAUGGCCUGUGUUGAUUGUCUGUGGGGGACUCUUGCCACUGUUUUUAUCAGUGAUUUGGCUGCUGAUGAUUCGGCAUUUUGUUGGUGCAAUGCCUUGGAUAACAGUUGCUCUCUUUGAUAUUCUCAUGAUAAAUAUCAGUAACAAUGUUUUACUACUUGAAAGCUGGAUGGAUUGGUAAUGAUGCUAUCUCUCCCAUCAUCGGUGAGCAUGAUCCAUACUACCAUGUAUCUGGACGGGAACUAAAUCAUCUUCGUGCUGUUGCUGUUAUCAUGACUUUUAUAAUGGUUGUUGCUGUCCUUACGUCAAUUGCCAUUGUGCGUCGUAUUCUUAUGGCAACAUCUGUCCUCAAGGUAGCUGCAAAGGUCGUGGGAGAAGUUCAAGCGCUCAUAAUUUUUCCAUUUAUACCAUAUGCUGUCCUUGCAAUCUUUUAUAUGUUCUGGUUUUCGGCUGCUUUUCAUCUUUUUAGUUCUGGCCAAAUUGUCCAAAAUGACUGCAAUUCCAACUGCUGUGCCUAUGAUCUUGGGUCAAAACGGGUUAACUGUGAUCGUUGCUGUGGCUAUAGCAUCCAUUAUACUCCUCAUAUAGCAGUUGCCAUCUUUUUCCACCUGUUUGGAUGUUACUGGGCUACACAAUUUUUUAUAGCAUGCUCUGCUACUGUAAUUGCUGGUUCUGUUGCCUCCUACUACUGGGCUC
RNAcentral lists this unclassified non-coding RNA (888 nucleotides) under Hevea brasiliensis (rubber tree). Lineage: Eukaryota; Viridiplantae; Streptophyta; Magnoliopsida; Malpighiales; Euphorbiaceae. The record is from RNAcentral.